AGAAUCAACGCUGGCGGCGUGCCUAACACAUGCAAGUCGCACGAGAAAGGGUAGCAAUACCUGAGUACAGUGGCGCACGGGUGAGUAACACGUGAAUAAUCUACCUCCGAGUGGGGAAUAACUGAGAGAAAUCUUAGCUAAUACCGCAUAAUACCCACGGGUCAAAGCAGCAAUGCGCUUGGAGAGGGAGUUCGCGGCAGAUUAGUUAGUUGGCGGGGUAAUGGCCCACCAAGACGAUGAUCUGUA
RNAcentral lists this ribosomal RNA (246 nucleotides) under uncultured bacterium. Its description in RNAcentral is "partial small subunit ribosomal RNA". It matches the Rfam family "Bacterial small subunit ribosomal RNA", at positions 26 to 285 of the family's 1533-position model. The record is from RNAcentral.